Molecule: non-coding RNA, 136 nt
Organism: Brachypodium distachyon (stiff brome)
Lineage: Eukaryota; Viridiplantae; Streptophyta; Magnoliopsida; Poales; Poaceae
Source: Rfam
UACGUACUUCCUCCGUCCAACAAAAGAUAUCUCAAGUUUGUCAAAAUUUGAAUGUAUCUAGACAUGACUUAAUAUAUAGAUGCAUUUAAAUUUGGUUAAACUUGAGACAUCCUUUGUUAUACGGAGGGAGUAGUUC